Molecule: ribosomal RNA, 468 nt
Filed under: uncultured bacterium
Lineage: Bacteria
Description: partial 16S ribosomal RNA
Rfam family: Bacterial small subunit ribosomal RNA
Source: RNAcentral
GACGAACGCUGGCGGCGUGCUUAACACAUGCAAGUCGAACGGAAAGGCCCUGCUUUUGUGGGGUGCUCGAGUGGCGAACGGGUGAGUAACACGUGAGUAACCUGCCCUUGACUUUGGGAUAACUUCAGGAAACUGGGGCUAAUACCGGAUAGGAGCUCCUGCUGCAUGGUGGGGGUUGGAAAGUUUCGGCGGUUGGGGAUGGACUCGCGGCUUAUCAGCUUGUUGGUGGGGUAGUGGCUUACCAAGGCUUUGACGGGUAGCCGGCCUGAGAGGGUGACCGGCCACAUUGGGACUGAGAUACGGCCCAGACUCCGACGGGAGGCAGCAGUCGGAAAUAUUGCACAAUGGGCGGAAGCCUAAUGCAGCAACGCAGCGUGCGGGAUGACGGCCUUCGGGUUGUAAACCGCUUUCGCCUGUGACGAAGCGUGAGUGACGGUAAUGGGUAAAGAAGCACCGGCUAACUACGUG